GGUCCCAUCGUCUAGCGGCCCAGGACGUCGCCCUCUCACGGCGAAAACGGGGGUUCGAGUCCCCCUGGGAUCACCA
This 76-nucleotide transfer RNA is filed under the name Deltaproteobacteria bacterium. RNAcentral's name for it is "tRNA-Glu". It matches the Rfam family "tRNA". Rfam says of the family: Transfer RNA (tRNA) molecules are approximately 80 nucleotides in length. Lineage: Bacteria; Pseudomonadati; Myxococcota; Myxococcia. The record is from RNAcentral.